Molecule: long non-coding RNA, 1559 nt
Organism: Entelurus aequoreus (snake pipefish)
Lineage: Eukaryota; Metazoa; Chordata; Actinopteri; Syngnathiformes; Syngnathidae
Exons: 3
Source: RefSeq, a predicted model, not a curated record
AAGUGGUGAGAAUCAAAGUCAAAAGUGGACAUCGCACUUGGAGGAAGAGUUCAUGCAAGUUGUCCGCAAUAGGCUGCUGACCUUCUGAAAGAGUCAAACAGUGCAGCAACAGUCUCCAGCUCAAUUAGAGCAAGCAAAGUAGGAGUCAAAACAAAUGGGAGGAGCAAGAAGAGGGGGAAGGUGAAGUGCUGAAGUAGAGGUCUGCAAGAGAGUCAAGUUUAAGUGCAGUUUGGAAGGACUGGAAACUGUUUACAGCUUUGACGCGUUGAGUUGUUCAUUUCUAAAAAAUAGCAAGGAUCAACAUGGCUACAAAUGAGGAGGUGCAAGAUAUUCUCUGCAAGUUGUGGACCAAACUGCAAGGGCUGCCAGAAGCCAAUUCACUGGAUCUGGGGGCCUUCUUAGUGAUUAUCCUUUUUAUUGUUACAGUCCUCGCCAUGGUCGCCCUUACCUGUGCCCAAUUCUGCAGCUGUACACAGUCAAAAUACCAGGCCUCCAGAGUGCAACCGUUAUAGAGUGUCUGAAGAUCAAAUGGCACAUCAGCGUUAAGAAAAUGUUGCUCUACUACCAACAUGAACACAUAUUGGAAGACCUCCUUUUCAGAGUUCUGGUGGGAUUACCAACAGGUAUUUGUCAUGGGAAGGAUGAACAUUUCCAACAAUUACAGCUUUUUGGAUCAAAAUUGCAAUAACAUGAAUCAUGGACUCCAUAUGACACAAAGAAACAUUGUUGGACUCAACUAAAUGGUAAAACGUAAAGAAGUACUUGAAGCAUUCCAGACUUCUUACUCAGGUUAUUCAUUAGGCUAGAGCGUAAUAUUAAAAAACAUGCAUGCCAACUGCAUAUAUUCUGUUCACAUUUUCAAGUAGUUUGUGUUGAACACUGGGGCGCUAUCUGCUGGUCAAUUUAGAGUUGGCCGGUCACUAUGAAUGCCACAUACUGUAAAAUCAAAGGAUUUGGGGGGCCAUUUAGAUAUAUUUUUUUUUUUAAUCAAGGUAAAAGCAACCCAGUUUGCUAAAAACGUAUGUUUAUUGAAAACAGCCAGCAUGUCUGUUGUGUGUUAUAACUGACACAGUAUCAAUAUUUUUUAUAAUUGUUAACAUUACUUUUUCCUGUUAUAUUCCUUCACUUUUUAUGUUGUUUAGUCGUCUGUUUACUGUCCCACAUUAAACCAAAAAUGUUGAGAGUUGUACAAAACAGUCAUCAUUCAGUAAUCCCUUUAUAAUUUUCAUUCUUUAGAUUCUAUACACGAUACAUUGUGAUACAUUUUAAUUUUCCAGAUGGUUUUAAAAACAUCAGAAAAAGUGAUAAAGUAAACUAACCAUAAUUAUUAUAAUUAUUAAUCACAAUAAUUUACUGCAUUUCUUUUUUAUAUCUAUCACACUUAUAGGUUUACUCGUUCGCUCCAAUGAUGCACUAGUAGCUGCAUUGUUUAAUGCAUUUUAUUUAAUGUGAGAAAUUUAAAUUUAUUGCUGUAUUUUGUUGUGUCAUUCAUGUCACUAUUUACUGUAAUGCUGUAUGAGAAUCCCAGAGUUUUUGUUUGUCACACUAAAUAAAAAGAA